AUUGAACGCUGGCGGCAUGCUUUACACAUGCAAGUCGAACGGUAACAGGUUAAGCUGACGAGUGGCGAACGGGUGAGUAAUGCAUCGGAACGUGCCCGGUCGUGGGGGAUAACGCAGCGAAAGCUGCGCUAAUACCGCAUACGAUCUGAGGAUGAAAGCGGGGGACCGUAAGGCCUCGCGCGAUCGGAGCGGCCGAUGUCAGAUUAGGUAGUUGGUGGGGUAAAGGCUCACCAAGACAACGAUCUGUAGCUGGUCUGAGAGGACGACCAGCCACACUGGGACUGAGAAACGGGCCAGACUCCUACGGGAGGAAGCAGUGGGGAAUUUUGGACAAUGGGCGAAAGCCUGAUCCAGCAAUGCCGCGUGCAGGAAGAAGGCCUUCGGGUUGUAAACUGCUUUUGUACGGAACGAAAAAGCCUUGGCUAAUACCCAGGGUCCAUGACGGUACCGUAAGAAUAAGCACCGGCUAACUACGUGCCAGCCGCCGCGGUAA
RNAcentral lists this ribosomal RNA (493 nucleotides) under uncultured bacterium. RNAcentral's name for it is "partial 16S ribosomal RNA". It matches the Rfam family "Bacterial small subunit ribosomal RNA", at positions 29 to 523 of the family's 1533-position model. The record is from RNAcentral.